ACAUCUUUAGCUUAAUUUGGUAAAGCGUUUGCCUUCGAAGCAAUUGUUUAUUGGUUCAAUUCCAAUAAGAUGUU
This is a transfer RNA of Termitomyces sp. J132, 74 nucleotides long. It matches the Rfam family "tRNA". Rfam says of the family: Transfer RNA (tRNA) molecules are approximately 80 nucleotides in length. The record is from Rfam. Lineage: Eukaryota; Fungi; Basidiomycota; Agaricomycetes; Agaricales; Lyophyllaceae.